RNAcentral lists this ribosomal RNA (114 nucleotides) under Canis lupus (wolf). RNAcentral describes it as "partial small subunit ribosomal RNA". Lineage: Eukaryota; Metazoa; Chordata; Mammalia; Carnivora; Canidae. The record is from RNAcentral.
AUUUUUCAACAAAAUAAUUCGCCAGGGGACUACUAGCAAUAGCUUAAAACUCAAAGGACUUGGCGGUGCUUUAUAUCCCUCUAGAGGAGCCUGUUCUAUAAUCGAUAAACCUCG